RNAcentral lists this ribosomal RNA (154 nucleotides) under Haliotis rubra (blacklip abalone). RNAcentral's name for it is "5.8S ribosomal RNA". It matches the Rfam family "5.8S ribosomal RNA". From Rfam's summary of the family: 5.8S ribosomal RNA (5.8S rRNA) is a component of the large subunit of the eukaryotic ribosome. It is transcribed by RNA polymerase I as part of the 45S precursor that also contains 18S and 28S rRNA. Functionally, it is thought that 5.8S rRNA may be involved in ribosome translocation. Lineage: Eukaryota; Metazoa; Mollusca; Gastropoda; Lepetellida; Haliotidae. The record is from RNAcentral.
CAUGAUGCAGGGGGGUAACUCGGCUCGUGCGUCGAUGAAGAGCGCAGCCAGCUGCGUUACUUAAUGUGAAUUGCAGGACACAUUGAACAUCGACAUCUUGAACGCAAAUGGCGGCUUCGGUGUACAGCCCGGAGCCACGCCUGUCUGAGGGUCG